Molecule: ribosomal RNA, 294 nt
Filed under: uncultured fungus
Lineage: Eukaryota; Fungi
Description: partial small subunit ribosomal RNA
Rfam family: Eukaryotic small subunit ribosomal RNA
Source: RNAcentral
GCUUGUCUCAAAGAUUAAGCCAUGCAUGUCUAAGUGUAAAUAAGUCUAUACUGUGAAACUGCGAAUGGCUCAUUAAAUCACUUAUCGUUUAUUUGAUGAUCUCUUACUACUUGGAUAACCGUAGUAAUUCUAGAGCUAAUACAUGCACAAAAUCCCGACUUACGAAGGGAUGUAUUUAUUAGAUACAAACCAACAUCGUGGUGAUUCAUAAUAACUUUGCGAAUCGUAUGCCUCACGGCGACGAUGAAUCAUUCAAAUUUCUGCCCUAUCAACUUGGCUACCACAUCCAAGGAA